Non-coding RNA from Pristis pectinata (smalltooth sawfish), 977 nucleotides. The record is from the annotation of a RefSeq genome assembly. Lineage: Eukaryota; Metazoa; Chordata; Chondrichthyes; Rhinopristiformes; Pristidae.
UUCUGGAGUGUCCAAGUCUGGCUCAGUGCACAGGGCGAUGGGGGUCGCUCCUUAUCUCUGUCUCCUUCUGUCCUGUCUGGGAGGCGUGCGGUCCGACGUGGUGCUGACACAGCCUGCGUCAGCGGUGGCAAAGCCCGGGGAGUGCCACAAACUGACCUGUGCAGUCACUGGGUUCAGCAUCAGCAGCUACUACAUGCACUGGGUGAAACAGGUCCCCAGGAAAGGGCUGGAGUGGCUGGUGCAGUAUUAUUCUGAAAGUUACAAAUAUUACGCGCCUGGAGCCCAAGCCCGGUUCACUGCUUCCAAGGACGGCAGCAACUUUUAUCUGCAAAUGAACAACCUGAGACUGGACGACAUGGCCACCUAUUACUGUGCAAGAGAUAUACCUGGGAAGUGGUAUGGAACACGGUGGUGGGGAGCUGAACACAAACUGGUCCCGACAAAUGAAUGUCUGCAGCGCAGCCCGUCUCCACCGACUCCGCAUUCCUGCUUCCCAGAGUCAAACACCUGAGGCUUGACUCGGACUGCUGGGAGGAAAUGUCCAUUUCUGGGCAAUUAAAAGCCCAAAAGGAGGCGAUUGUGUUUCUGGGCGCUGGCGGGAGCCGGUGUCUGCAGACAGGACAACGGCAAAAAUGCCUCUUUAUUCCCACUCACGGAAGAGAGAAGCACGGAGUUUGGGAUGGAAAUACAAGAAGCGGCUGCUCCAAGUCCGGACACGGUUCAUGUUGACACUUUGCUGGGAUUGUUGGAUGUGACGGACAAGUGAAGUUACUGCAGUGGGACAGUGGGGAGAUGCGGCUACUGGGAGAAAGGAACCUCGCUGACGGUGACUUCGGCUUGAUCGCCAAAGCUCAUCCCCUUUGUUCCAUCCCUGGAGUUUAUCCACAAUCAAACAACUGCUGUCCUGGGCUGUGCAAUAUCUGGAUUCUCUCCUGACAACAUUAAGGCUUUCCGGGAAAAAUCUGGAUCUGUUCAAG